Molecule: ribosomal RNA, 253 nt
Filed under: uncultured bacterium
Lineage: Bacteria
Description: partial 16S ribosomal RNA
Rfam family: Bacterial small subunit ribosomal RNA
Source: RNAcentral
UACGUAGGGUGCGAGCGUUGUCCGGAAUUAUUGGGCGUAAAGAGCUUGUAGGCGGUCUGUCGCGUCUGCUGUGAAAAUCCGGGGCUCAACCCCGGACUUGCAGUGGGUACGGGCAGACUAGAGUGUGGUAGGGGAGACUGGAAUUCCUGGUGUAGCGGUGAAAUGCGCAGAUAUCAGGAGGAACACCGAUGGCGAAGGCGGGUUGCUGGGCUGACACUGACGCUGAUGCGCGAAAGCCAGGGGAGCGAACGGG